UGAGCAAUCUGCCCUUCUCAUCGGAAUAAGCGUUGGAAACGACGUCUAAUGCCGAAUACGACCUCCUUUCGCAUGAUCGGAGGUGGAAAGCUCCGGCGGAGAAGGAUGAGCUCGCGGCCUAUCAGCUAGUUGGUGUGGGUAAUGGCCCACCAAGGCGACGACGGUAGCCGGCCUGAGAGGGUGACCGGCCACACGUGGGACUGAGACACGGCCAGACUCCGUACGGGAGCAGG
RNAcentral lists this ribosomal RNA (233 nucleotides) under uncultured bacterium. RNAcentral describes it as "partial 16S ribosomal RNA". It matches the Rfam family "Bacterial small subunit ribosomal RNA", at positions 118 to 347 of the family's 1533-position model. The record is from RNAcentral.